GGGCCCGUAGCUCAGCGGUAGAGCGCCCGCUUGGCGUGCGGGAGGUCCCGGGUUCAAAUCCCGGCGGGUCCACCA
RNAcentral lists this transfer RNA (75 nucleotides) under Candidatus Geothermarchaeota archaeon ex4572_27. RNAcentral's name for it is "tRNA-Ala". It matches the Rfam family "tRNA". From Rfam's summary of the family: Transfer RNA (tRNA) molecules are approximately 80 nucleotides in length. Their secondary structure includes four short double-helical elements and three loops (D, anti-codon, and T loops). Further hydrogen bonds mediate the characteristic L-shaped molecular structure. tRNAs have two regions of fundamental functional importance: the anti-codon, which is responsible for specific mRNA codon recognition, and the 3' end, to which the tRNAs corresponding amino acid is attached (by aminoacyl-tRNA synthetases). tRNAs cope with the degeneracy of the genetic code in two manners: having more than one tRNA (with a specific anti-codon) for a particular amino acid; and 'wobble' base-pairing, i.e. permitting non-standard base-pairing at the 3rd anti-codon position. Lineage: Archaea; Thermoproteati; Candidatus Geothermarchaeota. The record is from RNAcentral.